AUGAACGCUAGCUACAGGCUUAACACAUGCAAGUCGAGGGGCAGCAUGUAUCUGGCUUGCCAGAUAUGAUGGCGACCGGCGCACGGGUGCGUAACGCGUGUUCAACCUCCCCCAUACUCGGGAACAGCCCAUCGAAAGAUGGAUUAAUGCCCGAUGUUGUCUUUCACCCUCCUGGGUGUGAGACCAAAGAUUCAUCGGUAUGGGAUGGGAACGCGUCCGAUUAGCUGGACGGCGGGGUAACGGCCCACCGUGGCGACGAUCGGUAGGGGUUCUGAGAGGAAGGUCCCCCCACACUGGAACUGAGACACGGUCCAGACUCCUACGGGAGGCAGCAGUGAGGAAUAUUGGUCAAUGGCCGCGAGGCUGAACCAGCCAAGUAGCGUGAAGGAUGAACCUGCCCUAUGGGUUGUAAACUUCUUUUGCAGGGGAAUAACAAGUCCCACGUGUGGGACUCUGCAUGUACCCUGCGAAUAAGCAUCGGCUAAUUCCGUGCCAGCCGCUGC
RNAcentral lists this ribosomal RNA (503 nucleotides) under uncultured bacterium. RNAcentral describes it as "bacterial SSU rRNA". It matches the Rfam family "Bacterial small subunit ribosomal RNA", at positions 29 to 518 of the family's 1533-position model. The record is from RNAcentral.